This 429-nucleotide ribosomal RNA is filed under the name Chloroflexota bacterium. Its description in RNAcentral is "Chloroflexi bacterium partial 16S ribosomal RNA". It matches the Rfam family "Bacterial small subunit ribosomal RNA", at positions 355 to 776 of the family's 1533-position model. Lineage: Bacteria; Bacillati; Chloroflexota. The record is from RNAcentral.
UGGGGAAUAUUGCACAAUGGGCGCAAGCCUGAUGCAGCCAUGCCGCGUGUAUGAAGAAGGCCUUCGGGUUGUAAAGUACUUUCAGCGGGGAGGAAGGGAGUAAAGUUAAUACCUUUGCUCAUUGACGUUACCCGCAGAAGAAGCACCGGCUAACUCCGUGCCAGCAGCCGCGGUAAUACGGAGGGUGCAAGCGUUAAUCGGAAUUACUGGGCGUAAAGCGCACGCAGGCGGUUUGUUAAGUCAGAUGUGAAAUCCCCGGGCUCAACCUGGGAACUGCAUCCGAUACUGGCAAGCUUGAGUCUCGUAGAGGGGGGUAGAAUUCCAGGUGUAGCGGUGAAAUGCGUAGAGAUCUGGAGGAAUACCGGUGGCGAAGGCGGCCCCCUGGACGAAGACUGACGCUCAGGUGCGAAAGCGUGGGGAGCAAACAGG